Molecule: ribosomal RNA, 433 nt
Filed under: uncultured bacterium
Lineage: Bacteria
Description: bacterial SSU rRNA
Rfam family: Bacterial small subunit ribosomal RNA
Source: RNAcentral
GGUGGCGACCGGCGCACGGGUGAGUAACGCGUAUGCAACCUACCUAUCAGAGGGGAAGUAACCCGGCGAAAGUCGGACUAAUACCGCAUAAACAGGGGCACCGCAUGGUGAUAUUUGUUAAAGAAAUUCGCUGAUAGAUGGGCAUGCGUUCCAUUAGGUAGUUGGUGAGGUAACGGCUCACCAAGCCGACGAUGGAUAGGGGAACUGAGAGGUUGGUCCCCCACACUGGUACUGAGACACGGACCAGACUCCUACGGGAGGCAGCAGUGAGGAAUAUUGGUCAAUGGGCGAGAGCCUGAACCAGCCAAGUCGCGUGAAGGAAGAAGGAUCUAUGGUUCGUAAACUUCUUUUGCAGGGGAAUAAAGUGCAGGACGUGUCCUGUUUUGUAUGUACCCUGAGAAUAAGGAUCGGCUAACUCCGUGCCAGCAGCGGC